Molecule: long non-coding RNA, 2223 nt
Organism: Coffea arabica (coffee)
Lineage: Eukaryota; Viridiplantae; Streptophyta; Magnoliopsida; Gentianales; Rubiaceae
Source: RefSeq, a predicted model, not a curated record
AAUGUUCACUUUCUCUUCUUUCCCCUUCUUUUCUCUCCAAAUCAUCCACUCCCAAACGAACGGCUGAGAGAAAGAGAGUGUGAGACUGAGCGGUUGGGAGUAAUAAAAUAAAAUAAAGAACAACCCUAAUUCUCGAUCCUCGUCAUUGCCGUCAACUUGGAUCGGAGAGAGAUCGAUCACCUCGCCGGCGCCGUCGAUUGUGAUUUGGGGAGCGGAGUUGUCAGCUGAAGCUCGGGAGAAGGUAAAAUUUCUGAUUUUGCAUUAGAUAAAUUGUUUAAUCACCUAAUUUCCUCAAAGUGUAAAUUGUAUAUUGAAUUGGAGUUAAUUUGUUCUUAAUCCGGUAUUGGAUUCAAUUUCUACCAGAUUUCGCUGGUUAUGAUUUUAGAUGUCAUAUACUUUACUAGGAUUGAAUUUAUAUUGCUUUAUUUUGAGGUCUAAUGCUGAAAGUCUAAAGAUGGUACGAAGAUUUUUUGAGAAAGUGUUCAGUUGCAAUUCAGUCGCGGCAUUUAGCUCUUAUUUGAAUGAAGUCAGUUGCUAACUUAAAGACUGGGAUUUAGCAUAUAUAUUAGUAAGAUUAACAUUUCCUUGGAUUUGUUGAAGUUAUGCUAUGAAAUGGAAGUUAUGCUAUUGAUGCUCACAAUCUGAGCUGGUAGAAAUUGCUUUUGCACCAUGGAAUUUGUGUAAGGUUAGCAGAUCAUGUGGAACAUUCUUGUAGUAAAGUGAUUUUGGGAUAUGAGAGCGUCAGUUAUUCAUUUAUGAGAUGUAAGUAUUAAUGGCUGCCUGCUCCAAGUGUUUAUGUGGUGUUAUUAUAUUUCUAAUUGUGGAUUGACUACAUUUAUGUACAUCUAUUCUUGAUUUUAGUAGAUCUACAAGCUUCAUUAGAUUUCCAGAUGUCCUGAAUAGAUUUCUUUUAGAUACAGAAGUUCUUACCUCUAAAAGUUGAUGUUCAUAUGGUUUUCAAUAAAGGAAAUUAUGUGAAAAUUUUAUUUUGUGUUUAUUUUCAUGUGCUUCCCAGUUUUGCAAUAUUGGAUAUCUCAAAUUUUACUAUAUAUACAUAAUUCCUUUUUAAGAGUCUUUUCGGUUCAAAAUUUCUGAACAUCAUGAUAACUGCAAUGGAGGAUGUGAUUUGCUGUGUGUAAUGCUUUAAGAUAUUAAUAACAAGGUUCAUGUUCUCGUUGUUGCUUUAUUAAAGAUAUGAUGAAAAGAAAGAUCUUUGUCAAACUUUUACUGUUCCUCAUUUUUAAUGUUAUUCCGUAUGUGAGGGGUAUGAUUUUAUAGAAAUUGUGGAAUUGUCAUCGAAGGCAUGAUAAAGUAAAUAGGAUUUUUUUGGGUUGAAAGUACUUUGAUGUAGUGUUUUAUGCCUUUGAAGAUAUAAGCUUUCAUGUAGGGCUAUGUAAUUACAAAUUCACAGCAUACUGGUGCAUUAUGACAUUAGUUGAAAAUAAUUUACAGCAUAAGCAACUCUGCGCUUUGUUUCAACUGACCAGCACUCCACUUCAGGCAUUGCAUUAAGCUCCACAAGGCCUUUGCAAUUUACUGUGCCUAGAUUCUUUAAUUUCUAUAAUAAGAAGUAGGAGUACAUACUCUCUAUUACAUUUCUGAUAUUUAAUCAGUUCUGUUUGCUGGUUAAGAUACUUCUCCUUUUUUGCCAUUGACCAUAAACUUGACCAUUGGUUGGAGUAGAAGUUUGCUUGUGGUAUCAGUAUGUGAUUUACCUUUUAGGGAGAUAAAGGUGAAAGAUGCCUAUCUUGUUGGUGUUAAUCUUACGUGGUAGCCUUUUUAGCACAGCUCUAGACAAAUGGCUGGUACUACUUAUUUUUUGAGACUUACAGAAUUAGUUGUUCAUAUGAUAGGUUAACAAAGCUUAAUCAGCUAAAAUUUGCUUGAUGACUAUAUGUUGCAUCUAAUGCAUUAUUUUAUGCCUAAGUGCCUUAUUUUCAAAGGGGCCCUACUGCCUAGAGCAUUCCACACCAAACAAAGAGAAAAGGAAGUGAUAAAAGGGAAAGAGAGGUAUGCGUCUUGUCAAAUGCAAUCAUGGAUUACAUGAUUAUACCUUGAAGUAUUGAGCGAGUUGCCUGGACAAGGAAUCUGGAGAUGCGGUUUCUGUUGACUAGUUCAUAUGAAUAGUCAUUACUCAUUUCUGUGUUAGACAUUUUGGUGAUGGAUGCAUUAUUAAGCAUGCUAGAAUCAAUAUUGUUGUGAACAAAUUAAGACUUGCUUUCC